Molecule: ribosomal RNA, 565 nt
Filed under: uncultured bacterium
Lineage: Bacteria
Description: bacterial SSU rRNA
Rfam family: Bacterial small subunit ribosomal RNA
Source: RNAcentral
CCUGGUGGCGAGUGGCGAACGGGUGAGUAAUAUAUCGGAACGUACCCUAGGGAGGGGGAUAACGUAGCGAAAGUUACGCUAAUACCGCAUACGCUCUACGGAGGAAAACAGGGGACCGCAAGGCUUGCGCUCAUGGAGCGGCCGAUAUCGGAUUAGCUUGUUGGUGGGGUAAAAGCCUACCAAGGCGACGAUCCGUAGCUGGUCUGAGAGGACGACCAGCCACACUGGGACUGAGACACGGCCCAGACUCCUACGGGAGGCAGCAGUGGGGAAUUUUGGACAAUGGGGGAAACCCUGAUCCAGCCAUUCCGCGUGAGUGAAGAAGGCCUUCGGGUUGUAAAGCUCUUUUGUCCGGAGCGAAACGGUUAGCGUGAAUAUCGCUGACUACUGACGGUACCGGAAGAAUAAGCACCGGCUAACUACGUGCCAGCAGCCGCGGUAAUACGUAGGGUGCGAGCGUUAAUCGGAAUUACUGGGCGUAAAGCGUGCGCAGGCGGUUUUGUAAGCCAGAUGUGAAAUCCCCGGGCUCAACCUGGGAAUGGCAUUUGGGACUGCAAGGCUUGAG